Molecule: ribosomal RNA, 301 nt
Filed under: uncultured bacterium
Lineage: Bacteria
Description: partial 16S ribosomal RNA
Rfam family: Bacterial small subunit ribosomal RNA
Source: RNAcentral
CAGCCGCCGCGGGAACACGAGGGGGCUAGCGUUGUUCGGAAUUACUGGGCGUAAAGGGCGCGUAGGCGGCCAUUCAAGUUAGAUGUGAAAGCCCUGGGCUCAACCUAGGAAUUGCAUUUGAUACUGUUUGGCUUGAGUUCGGGAGAGGUGAGUGGAAUUCCCAGUGUAGAGGUGAAAUUCGUAGAUAUUGGGAAGAACACCAGUGGCGAAGGCGGCUCACUGGACCGACACUGACGCUGAGGCGCGAAAGCGUGGGGAGCAAACAGGAUUAGAUACCCCUGUAGUCCCUGUCUCUUAUACC